UCUGAACAUCUAGAGAGACCCACCCGUCAC
This 30-nucleotide non-coding RNA is filed under the name Homo sapiens (human). The record is from RNAcentral. Lineage: Eukaryota; Metazoa; Chordata; Mammalia; Primates; Hominidae.